CGUAGGAUGCAAGCGUUGUCCGGAAUUACUGGGCGUAAAGGGCGAGCAGGUGGCAAGUCAAGUCUGAUGUGAAAUCUCCCGGCUUAACUGGGAGGGGCCAUUGGAAACUGGCUAGCUGGAGUGCAGGAGAGGCUAACGGAAUUCCCGGUGUAGUGGUGAAAUGCGUAGAUAUCGGGAGGAACACCAGUGGCGAAGGCGGUUAGCUGGCCUGUAACUGACACUGAGGCGCGAAGGCUAGGGGAGCGAACAGGAUUAGAUACCCUGGUAGUCCUAGCAGUAAACGAUGGAUACUAGGUGUUGGGGGAAAUUGACCCCCUCAGUGCCGCAGCCAACGCAAUAAGUAUCCCGCCUGGGGAGUACGGUCGCAAGAUUA
This 373-nucleotide ribosomal RNA is filed under the name uncultured organism. RNAcentral's name for it is "bacterial SSU rRNA". It matches the Rfam family "Bacterial small subunit ribosomal RNA", at positions 526 to 896 of the family's 1533-position model. The record is from RNAcentral.